This 11025-nucleotide long non-coding RNA is filed under the name Musa acuminata (dwarf banana). RNAcentral's name for it is "long non-coding RNA (MACU_LNC007395)". Lineage: Eukaryota; Viridiplantae; Streptophyta; Magnoliopsida; Zingiberales; Musaceae. The record is from RNAcentral.
AAUGCAUAAUUACAAUAUCGUAUCGUUCGAAGCACGUUGUAUUCAUACAAUCGAGGAAAGGUAAUUGGAGCAUAUCAUUAGCAUAAGGAGCAUAUCGAUGACAUAUGGUAGUUUUCAAGGUAUAACAAAGACUUAUAACAUUUCGGAAAUAUAUCAAAAAAUAAAACAUGAAUAGAAGCUCAAAUGUCACAUGACGAUGCAUUCAUUUCAUUCUUAUCCAAAGCAUGCAUAGAAACAUAGCCAAAGCUUUGGAUAUCAUAUCAAACACAUAGAAGGUGAAGUGGGAUCAUAACAUAAUAUGGUCCAUCCAUUUCUGAAUGACCAACAAACAUAAGUCUCCCACGUCUGGGAGCUCCAUCCACCCACGUCUGAGUGAAGUCAUAGGGGGCCGGCAGAGCAUCGCGGGCUCUAAGCAUAACUCCCUUUACCAUUUCUGGCAAAGGUUCACAUUUAUCCCACAAACUCCGGAGUACAAAGGGACAGUAUGAAUAAUGAAAUUAGCAUAUAUUGGAAGCACAUGUGGAACAACGAAAUGUACAUAUGUCUUUCGAGUCAAUACGAUACAAACAUAAUCUUUCACAAAUGUAUUCAGAUUUGAAAGGAAACAAAAGCAAGAGCAUACAAGGAUUUCAAGAAAUCAUAUAUAGCUCAAUUGAAAUAAGAAAGUUAGAUAAAUUCAAUGUCCAAAUAAAUGAAACUGGAAGAGGCACGUAUCGAAAGCAAAUGUGGAACAAUGGGAUGCAUGUGCUGAAUCAUUAUGAUGCAAACAUGAUCUUUAGAUGAUAGCUGCAGAUGUACAAAUAAAUAAAGGACAAAAGUAUACAGGAAUUUAAGGUAAUAAUGUAAAGCUUAACUGAAGUAAGAGUUUUUGCCGAAAUCGAUUUCCAAAGAGAAGAAACAAGGAAAGCCGAAAUCAACCAAAGCUCGAUUCUGGCAGAAUUUGAUAGGAACAUUGUAUGAACUAUUUGGAUAACCAAUUAUGCUCCAAUUUAUACAAAAUAUGUGUCAUUAGAAAGCUUUGCCAAUCUAGUUUCAGGAAAAUCAAGUUUAACAAGAAUUGGAAUUUAUAACAGGGAGUUACAGAUAAUUUCGUAGAGAAAGGUCUGAAAAUAUUAGCUCUGUUUUACUGAAUCCAUAGGGUCGAUGAAAGCAGAUGUUUUAGUUAGCAAUUGUACUCCAAAAAUUUCAAAUCAGGUAUAUACAGAAAGCAUUUUGAGUCUAGCUUCGAAUAAAUAAUACUUUGUAUGAAUCUGAGUUCACAGCAGAAAGUUAUAAGUAGUUAAGCAACAAGAGGUCAGAAAUUUCGGUCCCUAUUUUACAGAAUCUGUAGGGUUAAUUUAAACAGAAGUCUUAGUAAGAAUUUAAACUCCAAAUCAUUCGAUCUUAGUAUCAAAAUAAAGAUUUUUUUGUCUACUUUCAAAUAGAAUAGGUCUUGUCUAAAUCAGAGUUUAUUACAAAAUGUUAUGACCGAAACAUUGCAUAGAGGUCAGAUUACCGAAAAAUUACAGAUUCAUAACUUUAUAUCAAAACGAAAUAAGGUCUGGUUCUCAGUUGAAAUCUUUCAAAUUUUACAGAAUAAAAAUGGAAAUAGAGAUUAAGGUUAUUGUGGGAUGGGGUUAGAACACUUGCCUUAAAAUUAUUUGAAUCCCAAAUGUGAGAAAAUUGAUGAAAAACCUCAAGCUCUUCUUCUUCUUCUUCUUCUUCUUCUUCUUCUUUUUCUCAAACUCACGUUGGCUGCAACUCUUCAGGUUUAUUUUCUUUAACCUUUCAUCUAAUUAUUUGGGUUUUGGCUAAUGCAAAAGUUGCAAGGUGUCAUGCAUGCAUGAAAGGGGCUAGGUGUCAUCUUUAGAGCAAAGAUAAGUGGCACCAAUCUUAGGUUAGCUAGUGACACAUGUCCACUAUAUAUAUUUUUUUUAAACUUAAAUCUGAAUCUUUCAUAAAUUAUAUCAAACUUUUAAUAUUUACUCUUAGGUCCCGAGCCAUAAACUUUUAAUAUAAUAUCAUUGAAUAUAAAAUAAUUAUUAAAUAAUUUUUAUUUUUACAAACAAAUCUUUUACUAAUUUUUUUUAAAAAUGGGGGAUGUUACACUCUCCCCUCCUUAAAGAAAAAUUUAGUUCUCUAAAUUUAUCAUACCUCAUUCGACGAAAAGAUGAAGAUAAGCUUUCAUCAUUUCUUCCUCGAGCUCCCAAGUUGUUUCCUCUCCAGAAUGUUAUCUCCAGAUCACUUUAACUAGAGGGAUAACCCGAUUCCUCAAGAUCUUUUCUUUUUUUAUCAACAAUCUGAGUGGGCUCUUCCACAUAAGACAAGUCUUUAUCAAUCACCAUCGGCUCAUACUUAAUGAUAUGAGAGGGAUCAGGUAUAUACUUUCUGAUCAUUGAAACAUGAAAUAUAUCAUGGAUAUGGCACAAUGAUGGUGGCAAGACAAUCCUGUAAGCGACAGAACCAACCCUCUCAAGAAUCUCAAAAGGUCCAAUAAAUCUUGGGCUUAACUUUCCUUUCUUCCCAAAUCUUAUAAUGCCUUUAGAAGGGGAGACAUUCAGGAAUACAAAAUCCCCGAUUUGAAACUCAAUAUUUCAUCUUCUAUUAUCAGCAUAACUCUUUUGACGACUCUGAGCAGUCUUUAACCUUUUUCUUAUAAGUUGAAUUUUCUCAGUAGUCUCUUGUACUUUUUCUGGUACUAAUUACUUUCUGUCGCCAAUUUCUUCCCAACAUAUAGGCGUCCUAUACUUUCGCCCAUAUAAAGCUUCAUAAGGAGCCAUCUGAAUACUUGAAUGAUAACUAUUAUUGUAAGUGAACUCAAUAGGAGAGAUAUCUUUAUCCCAUUCACCUUUCCAAUCCAUAACAUUGGCUCGAAGCAAAUCCUCAAGUGUUUGAAUGAUUCUUUCUGAUUGACCAUCAGUUUGAGGGUGAUAAGCAAUGCUAAACUUGACUUUAGUGCCAAUAGAUUCCUGUAACCUUCUCCAAAAUCUAGAUAAAAAUCUGGAGUCUCUGUCAGAGAUUAUCUCUUUUGGAACACCAUGAAGUCUUACUAUUUCAUUUAUAUAUAAAUCUGCAAGCCUAUCAAGAGAAUAAGUCAUAUUGAUCGGUAGAAAAUGUGCAGAUUUCGUUAACCUAUCAAUGAUAACCCAAAUAGCAUCAUGCUUUCUAGAAGUUCGGGGUAGUCCUGAAAUAAAGUCUAUGGUAAUACAUUUCCAUUUCCAUUCAGGAAUAUCUAAAGGUUGCAACAAACCUCCAGGUCUUUGGUGUUCUGCUUUGAUUUGCUGACAAGUCAAACACUUUGAAACAUAUAUUGCAAUCUCCUUCUUCAUGCCUUCCCACCAAUAAUGACUUUGGAGAUCUCUAUACAUCUUAGUGCUACCAGGAUGCAUGGUGUACUUUGAAUUAUGACCAUCCCUCAGGAUUUGAUUUUUGAUAUCUAAGUCAUUUGGAACACAUAUUCUAUCCCCAAAUCUCAAUAGGCCAUCCUCUGAAAGUCGAAAAUUCAGUUUCAAUCCCUUUUUUUACUUCAUUCCUUAAGCAGAUCAAGUGUCGAUCUCGUAGUUGUCCUCCUUUAAUUUGUUGAAUGAGAUCAUAUUACACUUGGAUGGAGGCCAUUAAUAUCAUUGAGUCUUGCCAUUUUCUCAUAACAUUCGAAUCAUAAUUCUCUUCUAAUAACUUCCAUUCAUUCACAACCAAAGUCGUCAUAAAACUUGUAGAUUUUCUACUAAGGGCAUCUGCUACAACAUUAGCUUUACCCGGGUGAUAACGAAUGGUAUAAUCAUAAUCCUUUAGAAAUUCUAUCCAUCUUCUUAACUAACACCGGAGCACCCCAUGAAACACUGGCCCAAAUAAAACCCUUAUAUAAUAGUCCUUGUAGUGGCUUUUUUUUUUUUCAAUUCCACUUACUCAAAUGGUGUCAUUCUAUAAAGAGGCUUAGAUAUUGGAAUUAUCCCAAGGACCAAAUCAAAAGCAAAUUCACCCUCUUUGUCUAGAGGUAAUCCAAGCAAGUCAUCUGGAAAUACAUCAGGCAAAGAGGUAAAUCAUGUCCAAUACUCUCAAAAUAAAAGAUGAGAUGAUCAAUAAUCAUUUUGUAUAACACUCUAUACUGGUAUGAUUGGAAGAUAGUCAACUCAUACUUAGUAUAAUAUCAAAACUCCAAAUAUCUAGGAGAACCAAAUCAGCAAGAAGUUCGUGUUCUCCAAUAGAAAUCAAACAAGAUGACCAGAUCGAGUUUGUUAUCAAACAAUCCCUAAUAGUCGUAUUUACAUAUAGCAUAUAAUCCAGUGGUUUAGGUUGAAUGCCCAUGUGAUAAGCAAAAUAUUACGAAUCAAAUCAUAGAUGAGACACAUGGUCAAACAAAUAUUUGCAUUCUUUCAUAAACAUAAAUAGUACCUUUGACCACUAAUUCAGAAGCUUUAGAAUCAUAUUCCGUGAUAAUAUACACUCUGACAUGGACUGAUGAUUUAUGAGGCAGUGAUUCUUUCUUCUUAUUCAAAGGGCAGUCUUUUAUUUAAUGAUCCAAAUUUCAAUAAGCAAAAUAAGCUCUAGUCACCCUACGAAUACAAACUUAUUUCAUAAUUUAACUCGCAUCUUACACAGGAUUGAAUUUUUUUGUGGUGACUUUCCUUUUCAAAUCGAUAAUGUCUUGACCCUCCUAUUAUCACAUUCUAAUUCAUUUCUAAUCUUUUUUUUUUUUUUGGUAAACUUGUCCUUGCUAUUCCUGUUCUUGAUCUCAAGAAAUUCUUUUGAUCAUCAGUACAAUUUCAUACAUCAAAUAUCUUCUCCAAUCGUAUUAUCUAUUUUUCUACUACCAAUGUAUUAGGUUCACCACGCUUCUAUUGUGCUACUUUGAUUUAAUAUCCCCAAUCAACCCUUUUAUCGCACUUAAUUAAUCAAAAGCAAAUGAAGUAGGAGGACUAAAUGUCCUCGUCAUCCUAGAUUCGUAAAAUGCAUCAAAGAAAAUUUUCACCAAUCACUAUAGUUCACUAGACCUCAAUAUAUUUUGCACGUCAACAUAUCAAAUAUUUCAGUGAUACUCAAACCAUGCUCUGAUACCACUCUGUCACGUCCCCCCCCACAAAUUAAAAUUCUCAUUCAGAAGGUGUGAACCUAACUCAAUAUUGGUAAUAUUAUAAUUCAACAAACAAUCCAGGAUCCAAUCAUACAUAUGAGAUCACUAAGAAAAACAUUCAAGUCAUUCACCUCUACAAUCCACAAUUCUCAAAACCUGUGUAGUUUAUAAUCAUACAUCAUGUCACUAGAUAAUUCUUUAAAAUCCAAAAGCAACUUAACUAAACCAUAACUAUAUCAUAAAUCCAUAAGCGCGGCAAUUAAUGCAAUCACAAAACCAACAUUACGACAUGUUUAUAUCAGUACACAGUUUUAAACUUAACAUUUCCAAAAUCCGGACGUAAGAGGUACUUUUCAAAUAUUUACAAGAUACAUCAAUCUAGAUUUGUCAUUGAUAUUUCAUUACACCAAAAAAGAACUUAUACAACAUCAACCUAUCAAGUACAAAAUAUUUGCUCCAAAAUCUUCUAGUCUUCCACUGCCUCAACCCAAUUUACACAUUUUAGUGAGCGAUAAGCUAUCCUGAAAAAAAUUAUAUAUCAACGGGGUGAGCAUAUAAAGCUCAGCAAGUGACUAACAUAUCCAUAGCAAAGAGGACAUGUUUCAAACAAAUAAGGUAUCAAACUACAAAGCAGAGAUACAAGAUGAAACAGUAGCAUAUUUUGUUUGAAUGCAGAAUUACAAUGUCAUAUCGUUCGAAGCACGUUUUGUUCAUACAAUCGAGGAAAGGUAAUUGGAGCAUAUCAUUGGCAUAAGGAGCAUAUCGAUGACAUAUGGUAAUUUCAAGGCAUAACAAAGACGUAAGGAGCAUUUUGGAUAUCAUGAAUGCAGAAUUACGAUAUCAUUUGGUUCGAAGCACAUUUGUUCAUACAAUCGAGGAAAGGUAAUUGGAGCAUACAAUUGGCAUAAGGAGCAUAUCGAUGACAUAUGAUAAUUUCAAGGCAUAAUAAAGAUGUAAGGAGCAUUUUAGAUAUCAUGAAUGCAGAAUUACGAUGUCAUUUCGUUCGAAGCACGUUUUGUUCAUACAAUCGAGGAAAGGUAAUUGGAGCAUACAAUUGGCAUAAGGAGCAUAUCGAUGACAUAUGGUAAUUUCAAGGCAUAACAAAGACGUAAGGAGCAUUUUGGAUAUCAUGNNNNNNNNNNNNNNNNNNNNUUAUACAUCUUAGUGCUACCAGGAUGCAUGGUGUACUUUGAAUUAUGACCAUCCCUCAGGAUUUGAUUUUUGAUAUCUGAGUCAUUUGGAACACAUAUUCUAUCCUUAAAUCUCAAUAGGUCAUCCUCUGAAACUCGAAAAUUCACUUUCAAUCCCUUUUCUACUUCAUUCCUUAAGCGGAUCAAGCGUCGAUCUCGUAGUUGUCCUCCUUUAAUUUGUUGAAUGAGAUCAGAUUGCACUUGGAUGGAGGCCAUUAAUAUCAUUGAGUCUUGCCCUUUUCUCAUAACAUUCGAAUCAUAAUUCUCUUCUAAUAACUUCCAUUGCUUCGCAACCAAAGUCGCCAUAAAACUUAUAGAUUUUCUACUAAGGACAACUGCUACAACAUUAGCUUUACCCGGGUGAUAACGAAUGGUACAAUCAUAAUCCUUUAGAAGUUCUAUCCAUCUCCGCUGUCUCAUAUUUAACUCUUUUUGAGUAAAAAUAUACUUUAAACUCUUAUGAUCAGUAAAGAUUUCAAAUGUUCGUCCAUACAAGUAAUGCCUCCAAAUCUUUAGAGCAAAAACAAUUGCUGCCAAUUUUAAAUCAUGAGUUGGAUAAUUUAGUUUAUAACUCUUUAGUUGUCUAGAAGCAUAAGCAAUCACUUUCCCUUCUUGCAUCAAAACACAUCCAAGGCCCUUUCUUGAGGCAUCAGUGUAAACCAUAAAUCCCUCAUCACCACUUGGAAUAGUGAGAAUAGGGGCAGUAGUCAAUCUCCUUUUUAACUCUUGAAAACUUUGCUCACAAUCAUCACCCCAUACAAAUUUCACAUUCUUUUGAGUGAGUUUGGUGAGAGGUUGAGCGAUUCGAGAAAAUCCCUCCACAAAUCUCCUAUAAUAACCUACCAUGCCCAAGAAGCUUCUAACUUCUGUCACGUUUGUUGGUCUUCCCACUUAACAACAGCUUCCACUUUCUUUGGAUCAACAGAUAUACCCUUCCCUGAAAUCACAUGGCCUAAGAAAGCAAUUUCAUUCAACCAAAAUUCACAUUUGCUGAACUUUGCAUACAACUUCUUUCUAUUAGUAUGGAUAAUAUAUUUAUCAAGUGUUCCUCAUGCUCCUGAUUACUCAUUGAAUAUACUAAUAUGUCAUCAAUGAAUACAAUCACACAAUCGUCCAAGAAUGACUGAAAUCCUAUUCAUCAGUUUCAUAAAAGCUGCAGGGGCAUUAGUUAAACCAAAAGGCAUCACUAAGAAUUCAUAGUGACCAUAUCGAGUUCUAAAAGCUAUUUUUGGAAUAUCCUCCUUCAUGAUCUUCAACUGAUAGUAACCUGACAUUAAAUCAAUCUUGGAGAAUACUUGUGCACCCUGCAAUUGAUCAAACAAAUCAUCAAUUCUGGGUAGGGGAUACUUGUUUUUGAUGGUCACCUGAUUCAAUUAUCUAUAAUCAAUACAAAGCCUUAACGUUCCAUCCUUCUUCUUAACUAAUAGCACCGGAGCACCCCAUGGUGAAACACUGGGUCGAAUGAAACCCUUAUCUAAUAGUUCUUGUAGUUGCUUUUUCAAUUCCUCUAGCUCGGGUGGUGCCAUUCUGUAAGAAGUCUUAGAUAUUGGGGUUGUCCCAAGAACCAAAUCAAUAGUAAAUUCACCUUCUCUAUCUGGAGAUAAACCAGGCAAGUCAUCUGGAAAUACAUCAGGGAACUCUUUGACCACUGUAAUUUCAUUUAGGUGAGUUUCUUGAUUUGAAUGCUCCUUUACACACACCAUAUAACAAAAACAACCCUUCUGUAUAAAAUGAUAAGCUUGAAGUGCUGAUAUCGAGCAAGGAGGCAAAUCAUGCCUAAUACCCUCAAAGUAAAAUAUAGGCUGAUCUGGUAUGCAGAAAGUAAUUAUUUUUGUAUAGCAAUCAACACUAGCAUGAUAGGAAGAUAGCCAAUCCAUGCCAAGUAUAAUAUCAAAACCCUGGAUCUCUAGGAGAAUCAAAUCAGCAAGAAGUUCACAUUUUCCGAUAGAAAUCAAACAAGAUGGAUAAACCAAGUUUGUUGUCAAAGAAUCCCCAACGGCAGUAGUUACAUAUAACAUAUAAUCCAAGGGUCUAGGUUCAAUGCCCAAGUAACAAGCAAAGUGUUGUGAAACAAAAGAUACGUUGGAACCAGGAUCAAACAAAACUUUUGCAUUUCUUUUAGAAACAUGAAGAAUACCUUCAACCGCUGAUUUAGAGGCUCUGGAAUCUUGUUCAGUAAUAGCAUAUACUCUAACAUGGGUUGUUGACUUAGGAGGCAGUGGCUCUUUCUUCUUGUUCAGUGGGCAAUCUCUUACUUUAUGAUCUAAUUUCCCGCAAGCAAAACAAGCUCUAGUCGUCCGAAAACAUUGACUUGUUUCAUGAUUUAAUCCACAUUUAGCACAUGAAUGAGUCCUUUGUGGUGGUUUUUCUUUCUCAAAUCUGGACAUCUUGACCCUCUUAUAACUUGUUUCAGAUUCAUUCCCUCUCUUACUUUUGCUGAUAAACUUCUUAUCUUUCUUGUCCCUGAUUUCUUGAAUUUCCUCCAAGUCUCUUUCAAUUAUCAAAGCCCUUUCGACCACAUCGGCAUAAGCUUGGAGUUUUAAUGCUGAUAUUCGACUUCUUAUAACUGGCCUUAGACCCCUUUCAAAUUUCUUUGCUUUUCUAAUUUCAUCAUAAGUUAUAUGAGUGGCAAAUCUAGAGAGCUCAGUGAGUUUGGAUUCAUACUUUGCAACUGUCAAAUUUCUCUAGAUGAGAUCCAAGAACUCCAAUUCUUUCUGCUCUCUAAUACAAUCUGAAAAAUAUUUAUCGUUGAACUUUUCUAUGAAUGCCUUCCAUGUGAUUGGCUCAUGUUUGAUUUCAUAAAUCCUUUUAAUCAUUCUCCACCAGUGCUCGGCCUCUCCUUCCAAUAUAAAGGCAGUAAGAGAAACCUUUUGGUCUUCAGGGCAAUUUAAGACAUCAAAUAUUUUUUCUAUCUGCAUCAUCCAUCGUUCUGUUGUCAUUGGAUCAGGCUCACCACUAAAACUAGGAGGACUAAGCUUCUUAAACUGUUCAAUUCCCAACCUAGUAUGGUUUGAUGCCCCCGUUCUAUUAUUUCCUCGUUGGACUUGUUGUUGCAUCACUUGUGUCAUAGUCUCCAGAGUUCUCAUAAUUCCACUUAAUUGAUCAGCAGUAGAUGCAAUAGGAGAACCAGAUGUCCUCGUCAUCCUUGCUUCCUAAAAACAACAAAAGAGAAUUUUUUUUUAUCAAUCUCUGAAUAAAAUUCACUAAACCACCAAAUUAUUUUUGUGUAUCUAGCAUAUCAAAAUAAUAAUAAUAAUAAUAAUAAUAAUAAUAAUAAUAAUAAUAAUAAUAAUAAUAAUAAUAAUAAUAAUAAUAAUAAUAAUACUUANNNNNNNNNNNNNNNNNNNNNNNNNNNNNNNNNNNNNNNNNNNNNNNNNNNNNNNNNNNNNNNNNNNNNNNNNNNNNNNNNNNNNNNNNNNNNNNNNNNNNNNNNNNNNNNNNNNNNNNNNNNNNNNNNNNNNNNNNNNNNNNNNNNNNNNNNNNNNNNNNNNNNNNNNNNNNNNNNNNNNNNNNNNNNNNNNNNNNNNNNNNNNNNNNNNNNNNNNAAAUAAUAAUAAUAAUAAUAAUAAUAAUAAUAAUAAUAAUAAUAAUAAUAAUAAUAAUAAUAAUAAUAAUAAUAAUAAUAAUCUUAGUGAUCCUCAAAUCAUGCUCUGAUACUACUAUGUCAUGCCCCCCAAAUUUAAUUCUCAUUUAGGAGGUGGGAACCUAAUUCAAGAUUGAUAAUAUUUAAUUCAACAAACAAUCCAGGAUCCAAUCACACAUUUGAGGUCACUAAGAAAAACAUUCAAGUCAUUCACCUCUACAAUCCACAAUUCAUAAAACCUAUGCAGUCUAUAAUCAUACAUCGUGUCACUAGAUGAUUCUUAAAAUCCAAAAGCAACUUAACUAAACCAUAACUAUAUCAUAAAUCCAUAAGCGCGGCAAUUAAUGCAAUCACAAAACCAACAUGUACUACAUGUUUAUAUCAGUACACAGUUUAGACUUAACAUUUCCAAAAUCCUAACGUAAGAGGUACUUUUCAAAUAUUUACAAGAUACAUCAAUCUAGAUUUGUCAUUGAUAUUUCAUUACACCCAAAAAGAACUUAUACAACAUCAACCUAUCAAGUACAAAAUAUUUGCCCCAAAAUCUUCUAGUCUUCCACUGCCUCAAUCCAAUUUACACAUUUUAGUGAGCGAUAAGCUAUCCUGAAAAAUUUAUAUAGCAACGGGUUGAGCAUAUAAAGCUCAGCAAAUGACUAACAUAUCCAUAGCAAAGAGGACAUUUUUCAAAACAAAUAAGGUAUUAAAAUACAAAGCAGAGAUAUAAGAUUAAACAGUAGCAUGUUUUGUUUGAAUGUAGAAUUACAAUAUCGUAUCGUUCGAAGUACGUUUUAUUCAUACAAUCGAGGAAAGGUAAUUGGAGCAUAUCAUUGGCAUAAGGAGCAUAUCGAUGAUAUAUGGUAGUUUUCAAGGUAUAACAAAGACUUAUAACAUUUCGGAAAUAUAUCAAAGAACAAAACAUGAAUAGAAGCUCAAAUGUCACAUGACGAUGCAUUCAUUUCAUUCUUAUCCAAAGCAUGCAUAGAAACAUAGCCAAAGCUUUGGAUAUCAUAUCAAACACAUAGAAGGUGAAGUGGGAUCAUAACAUAAUAUGGUCCAUCCAUUUCUGAAUGACCAACAAACAUAAGUCUCCCACGUUUGGGAGCUCCAUCCACCCACGUCUGAGUGAAGUCAUAGGGGGCCGACAGAGUAUCGCGGGCUCUAAGCAUAACUCCCUUUACCAUUUCUGGCAAAGGUUCACAUUU